Molecule: ribosomal RNA, 390 nt
Filed under: Acanthamoeba lenticulata
Lineage: Eukaryota; Discosea; Longamoebia; Acanthamoebidae
Description: SSU rRNA
Rfam family: Eukaryotic small subunit ribosomal RNA
Source: RNAcentral
CCGUGAAAAAAUUAGAGUGUUCAAAGCGGGCAGAUAUUUUUCCUGCCACCGAAUACAUUAGCAUGGGAUAAUGGAAUAGGACCCUGACCUCCUAUUUUCAGUUGGUUUUGUUUACAGCGAGGUUAUAUCAGGGUAAUGAUUAAUAGGGAUAGUUGGGGGCAUUAAUAUUUAAUUGUCAGAGGUGAAAUUCUUGGAUUUAUGAAAGAUUAACUUCUGCGAAAGCGUUUGCCAAGGAUGUUUUCAUUAAUCAAGAACGAAAGUUAGGGGAUCGAAGACGAUCAGAUACCGUCGUAGUCUUAACCAUAAACGAUGCCGACCAGCGAUUAGGAGACGUUGAAUACAAAACACCGCCGUUAAUCCUUUCGGGGGUUAAUGGUUGGUGAAUGACUC